RNAcentral lists this ribosomal RNA (444 nucleotides) under Escherichia coli. RNAcentral describes it as "bacterial SSU rRNA". It matches the Rfam family "Bacterial small subunit ribosomal RNA", at positions 1 to 439 of the family's 1533-position model. The record is from RNAcentral. Lineage: Bacteria; Pseudomonadati; Pseudomonadota; Gammaproteobacteria; Enterobacterales; Enterobacteriaceae.
UUAAAUUGAAGAGUUUGAUCAUGGCUCAGAUUGAACGCUGGCGGCAGGCCUAACACAUGCAAGUCGAACGGUAACAGGAAGAAGCUUGCUUCUUUGCUGACGAGUGGCGGACGGGUGAGUAAUGUCUGGGAAACUGCCUGAUGGAGGGGGAUAACUACUGGAAACGGUAGCUAAUACCGCAUAACGUCGCAAGACCAAAGAGGGGGACCUUCGGGCCUCUUGCCAUCGGAUGUGCCCAGAUGGGAUUAGCUAGUAGGUGGGGUAACGGCUCACCUAGGCGACGAUCCCUAGCUGGUCUGAGAGGAUGACCAGCCACACUGGAACUGAGACACGGUCCAGACUCCUACGGGAGGCAGCAGUGGGGAAUAUUGCACAAUGGGCGCAAGCCUGAUGCAGCCAUGCCGCGUGUAUGAAGAAGGCCUUAGGGUUGUAAAGUACUUUCAG